Long non-coding RNA from Peromyscus californicus insignis, 8466 nucleotides. RefSeq lists it as uncharacterized. The transcript is spliced from 4 exons. The record is from RefSeq and is a predicted model, not a curated record. NCBI's taxonomy places the organism in Eukaryota, Metazoa, Chordata, Mammalia, Rodentia, Cricetidae.
CUUGGGCUGUUGCUGCACUGCAGCUGCCUGGACUUGGCUCUCCAAGGUAUCCAAGCGACCAUGAGCUCAGAGCCUCUCCCAGCUCCGCUCUUGCCCUCCUUUCCUCCUGCCUUCCCUCUCCUAACCCUCAACUCUGCAGCUCUCCUGGGGUUGGAGUAUAGAUAAAGCCCUACCAGGACUUGUGUAGCCUGUCAAGGCUGGUUUCGGCGGCGUUUAGAAGAAAGGAGGCUGAGCGCAUUUACAUCUCCAGCUCCCACCGCCCGCCGGGACCGGUGGGGAGAGGCCAGCGGUCUGCACAGGGACUGCCCCGCCACGGCAAGGGCUCUGGGUGGCAGCUGGGGCUGCUGGGUGCAGAGGGGUGGUGUCUUGAGGCACCACAUUUCACCCCAGAAAGCAACCAUAGCCCCUAAAUUUGCCCCAGUUCCGGGAAACUCCUGCCAACCUCUCCCCACUCAAGUCUAAAAUGGACUGAGGGAACGGCGGGACAAGGCCCUUCCUGAGCAGAUGGGGACACUGAGCCCCGAAACUGAGUUCUGGAGAUUUGCAAGGUCAAGGUCACACAAUGGCUGACUGAGACCAGGAGGGAGGCUGGGAGUAUCUGGAGCGCAUAGCAACUCAGGGAGUGGAGAAGGAGCGGUCAGACCCAAGGCUCUCCAGCUCAGUGACCCCCCCCCCCCCCCGUCUUACCCACACCCCCCUCCCUCUUACCCACACCCCUGGCCCUUCUCUGACCUUCACAGGGCAGGUUAGGCACCUUCCGGGGGGCGGGGGAGCGAGUGUGGCAGGGCUGGGUGUCUAGGCCUGUGCUGCCUGGGGAUGUCAACUCUGUUCCUAUCCAGCCCCACUCUUUUUCCCUCUGCCUCCAGUCUCCGUGGCUUCUUGGGGCUUCUGUCUCCAAGGAGGCCUUGCAGCUGAGACACGGAACCCUAGGAAAAGAUGGCGGCAUCUACUCCCCAAAGGCCCUGGUGAGAUGAGGAUUUCGUGGGACCUCCAGUGUUCAGGCAAGCACAGUCCCUAGCAGAGCAGAACAUCCAAAAUGCCCCUCUUUCUUCACUGAUGUGGUCCUGUGUCCCUGGUCCUGUUCCUCCUUCCCAGGCAGGAAGUCUCUCUCAGGGGCUUCUCAGUCCUAACUGAGUCACAUCCAAGCACUUGGAAGGGUUGCCUGCUGGGGGAGAUGGGAAAACAGUAGAGACAAGGAAAAGCAAGUGUGGUUGGAAUUUUCCAUCCAUUCGGAACACUUAAAAAGCCUUAUUUAGCCGGGCGGUGGUGGCGCAAGCCUUUAAUCCCAGCACUCGGGAGGCAGAGGCAGGCGAUCUCUGUGAGUUCGAGGCCAGCCUGGGCUACCAAGUGAGUUCCAGGAAAGGCGCAAAGCUACACAGAGAAACCCUGUCUUGAAAAACAAAAACAAAAAAAAAGCCUUAUUUAUAUAAAAAUUAGCCAAUACUAUAUAUUAUUUGGCAAUUUAUUACACCUCAUUUUUCUUCGUAGUUACUAAUACUCCAUUGGUCACACAUUAUCUGCGUAUAGUACCUGAUCCCCAAUAGAUGGGGACACAUAUAGAUUGUGUCCAAACUUGUCCUCUAACCCCCAAGCCUCUGAAAACAAGCUGCUUUCACAUAGGAGGGGUCUUUGGAGCCAUCAACGACCCCUGCAGGAACAAGGGAGGGGAGGGGGCAAGCAGCUCUGGGAAGCUUCAUCUCCUUUCAUAGGCAAGAGGCAGGCUAGGCUUUUUCUAGAGCCAGACCCAAUGAGAGAAAUGGCCUCAGGAGAGCCAGCAUAGCAGGGACUGGAAGUCCACCGUGGUAAGGAAGGCCCUCAGAUCCCAGGGACCCAGGGGCAGGCAGAGCUGCCCAUGGCAGAGCUGCCCAUGGCAGUGCACACAGUCUGGAAAGGGUCGAGCAUGGUUGAGAACAGGGUGUAGUGAGGGUCCUUCAGGCACCCUCCCUCCCCUUCCCCAUGAACUUGGGGCCACCUCAGUCCACGUGGGAGCUUGGGCCCACGGAGGAGGAGGGCAGGAAGCCCCAAGCUCUAAGUUUGUCGCCUGACUCGGUAGCCGGCUCCUUGUAGCUUCAGUUUGCCAGCCUGCAAAUAUGAAUGUUGGCAGCAACUUCCUCACCAGGCAGGGGUUCUGAGGACUCACAAGGAGUCCAUGCAAAGACCACAGCCCAUUGCAAAGUCCCAGGGAGCCAUACUGUCACCUCCUCAGUACAGAGACUGUGGUGUAUGUGUUUUUCUCUGUAUGCCAGUGUGGACAUCUGUAUGUUCUUGCAUGUCACAUCUGCAUAUACAUUCAUGUGCACCUGUGCACAUAUAUAAAUGUAUGUGCAUGUACACAUGUGUAUGCCUAUCUCUCUAUUUGAGUGCAGCAUCCCAAACCACCUGUAUUAGUUGCUUAUCUGUUGCUGUGAUAAAAUGCCAUGAUCAAAGGCAGAUUAAGUAAGAGUUUGUUUUAGCUUCUGGUUCCAAAGAGCUAGAUGACCACAAUGUCUAGGAGCAGGAAAUGGAGAGAUCACAUCUCAGCUUCACAUAGGAAGCAUUGAGGGAGAACUUGGGGAAGGUAGACUGCAAAUUCUCAAGCCCCAUCCCCAGUGAUGUAUUCCUCAAGCAAGGUUCCACUUCCUAAAGUUCCCCAAACAGGGUCAUCAACCAGAAACCAAGUGUUCAAACACAUGAGGCUACAAGGGACAUUUCUCAUUCAAACUACCACACCACUCUGUGUGUCUGUCCUCUGUCCACUGAAGGAUGUUGUCACUUCUCAGUACACCUUUCAAUACACCUUUCUAACCUCUCUGGGCCUCAGUUACCUCAUCUGUAAGAUGAAAAUGACAAAGAGUUGUGAUAUUAAACAUAUUAGGCAAACACUCACAUACACACACAACAAAACAAAAGAACAAACUCAGGAGUAACUGGUAUGUGCUCAUGCAACUUGUAUGAAAUGAAACACAAGCAGAGGUAGCUACAUGCCAGCGCAUGGUGGAGGCUUUAAAAGCUCAGCACAGUUUGACUUGAAACAUACUGGGUCUUUUCUCUGAGGGAUAUACUCUGUGAGUUCUGCCCUCAGUCUAGAUUCCUGAAUAGAAACUGUGUGUGUGUGUGUGUGUGUGUGUGUGUGUGUGUGUGUGUGUGUGUGUGGCAGAGUGAUAGGCAAGGGUAGCCAAAGUGCAACCAAUGCUAAACCUGAGUACAAUCAAACUUUGAUCAUGGGAACCUACUGUUAGUCAGGUGGUGUUUGUUAUGAAGCAUAACCUAGCAAAAGUUUACCAUCACAGAAAAUGGUACUUAGAAGUAGUAGGCCACCAAAGCAAAUGUGUGGCAUGGGCUCUAGGAGACAGACAAUAGAUAACAAGGAGACACUUACUGAAGGCAAUAAAGUUGAUAGUCUGUGUUACACAGCAAGAAAUACUCAAUAAAACUCCUGGCUAUGAGAAUUUCAAAGCUGUAGAGAUAUGGCUCAGUGAUUAAAAGCACUGGCUGCUCUUCCAGAGAAUCCAGGUUCAAUUCCCAGAACCACAUGGCAGCUCACACCUGUCUGUAACUACAGUUCCAGGGCUUCUGACAUCCUCACAGACAUUCAUGCAGGCAAAACACCAAUGAACAUAGAAUAAAAAUAAAUUAUAAACACACACACACACACAAACAAAAGCAAAUAAGGAAACAAAACCUGUGCAUGGGAGGUGGGGGCAGGAAGAUCAGAAGUUCAAGGCUGCCUCUGGCUAAAUAAUUCAAGACUAGCUAGCCUAGGCUGAAUGAAAUCCUUUCUCUCAAACAAAACAGGGCUGAGGGUGCAUCUCAGUUGGUAAAGUGCUUAUCUAGCAUCCACAAAGCCCUGGGUUCAGUUCCCAGUGCCACAUAGACCAGGUUGGUGGAUGACACUGUGAUCUCAACACUUGAGAGAUAGAGGCAGGUAAAGCCACCCAAGACAAUCAACAAAUUCCCAGCUACAUGAGACAGUGUCUCAGAAGGAAGGGAGGGAGGGAGAAGGGAGGGACCGCAAAGCUGAUGGUCUUCUGUGGCUUUAGCUGAAGAGAUUGAGGUAAUGAAAUAGCUGACACACCUGAUCACUUUUUAUCUCAUGUUUCGUUAUCUGGGAUUCAAUCCAUAGAAUGCGUACACUGAUGCCCUUAGCCCCGCCAUGUCACUGAAUGACUGAAUGUGGAGGCAGUGUAGCCUUUUAUGACCACAGUGAGCUCAUGUACCAGGCUCUUAUAUGAUCCUUAGAAGAGAAACUGGGACACAGGGAAAGCUGUGGACAGCGGUCUUCGCAGUCUACAAGCCAAGGGGCAGGGUCCAGGCAGACCUUUCCUCCUGAGAGGGACACUGAUCUGCUGAUCCUUGAUCUUAACUUCCCAGAUCUGGGAAAUAAGUGUCUCUGUGGAACUGUGGUGUGUGGGGCUGACUGGUGUUUAGCAGUCACCCAAGGGGCAGGCUGUGUCUCGGAGGGCCCUGGGAGGAGAGAGGGCAUAUGGCUUCUGAGGAGGUAGCCUGCUUGCAAGCCAAGAGGAGAUGCAGAAAUUCUACAUUUUCAGAGUUGAAAGUGCAUCUGGUGCUUAUAUCUGCCCAGUGAAAGAGGAUCAGGGAUGCAGUUCCGUGGGUGUAGCACUUGCUAGCAUGCAUGAAGUCCUGAGUUCCAUCCUCAGAGCUGUGUAAACAGGACAUGGUAAGUGCCUGUAAUCCAGCACUGGGAGAGUAGAGGUAGAAGGACUCAGGAGUUCAAGUUCAUCCUCAGCUACACAGUGUGUUCAAGAUCAGCCUGCACUAAGUGGAGAUCCCAGCAGCCAGUGUCUAGAGGCCCAAGUCCAUGGUGCAUUCAGAGACAACCCCAAGAGCAUGAUGACCUGGUGCCAACCUCCAGCUGGGAGCAGCUGGGGCAGGUCCCAUCCUGCCAGUCCUACAGCUCACCUGCUCCCACCAGAGUGAGAAGCCAGGGCCAGGCCUGGAGUUUGGCCAUUUUCUGAAAGCAGACGGACAGACACAGUCCUGGCCCCUCUGGCAGUGAACUGCGUCUACAAAAUCCAAGUGACAAAUGACAUUUUAGUAAGACUCCUGACAUAUCUGUGCUUGGAACACAUGACACGAUCUUGGAGCAGAUAGGAGUUUUAAUUUUAACUUCAUCUGUGUCCCCAGAAAUGCAUUGUUGGAGAAGCCCAAUCGUGAAUUUUAAACUAUCUGUAGAGGCUUUUCAAAGCCGUCCAUAAAGCCAGUCAAUAAAGAACAUUCUAGACCAGAGAAACAACAGGACAAAGACAUGCUCAGUGUGAGUUCGGUCAGCACUCUCUCUGGGGUAGAGGUCCUGCCUGGUGUGGUCAUCACACUCUUUGUUGAGGUUGAUGUGUCCAGGUGUCACCUGCCUGUCAUCCCAGGCUUCGGCAAGAGGAUCCCACUCGGGGGUAGCCUGGGCUAAAUAGUGAGACUUAGACAAUGAAGCCACCAGGGAUUGGAAUGGAGCUCAGAAGUACAGCACCUUCCUGCCCUGAGUUCCUCUCCAGCACUGCAAUAAACAAACAAAUAAUCAGUACACAAAUAAGUGAUGAAAUAAUAUUAUCAAUGAAACAGGAAGACAAAGCCCUGAGGGGCUCAGAGCCUCCCAGAUCAAAUCUGGAGGGAUAAUUCCUGAAACACUUGGCGGCGGGACGGGGUGUGUGUGUGAGAAGAAGCUAACAGGUUGCUCAGCACUUGGGAGGCAGAGGCAGGUGGAUCUCUGUGAGUUCAAGUCCAGCCUGGUCUGCAGAGAGAGAGAGAGAGUGAGUUCCAGGACAGCCAGAGCUACAUAAUAAAACCUUGUCUUAAAAUAAAAGUGUUCAAGGUUAUCCUCAGCUAGAUAUGGAGUUGGACUCAUAAAGGGGCAAUAUUUCCUGUUUUAGUGGGGAACUUAGAGGGGGGCAUUAAUUUCCUUCCACAUUUAUUGCUGGCCCAGUGUGAUUGGACAGCCAUGGCCGCCAGAAAUAAUACCACAGACUGAAUGCUUAGACCAUCUCUUCCGGUUCCAGAGGCUGGAAGAGCAGGAUCAAGGUGUCACCAAAGUGAGGUUCUGUGUUUUUGUUUUUUGAGAAAACGUCUCACUAAAUAGCCUUGGUUUCCUGGAACUCACUGUGUAGAUCAGGCUAGCCUCAAACUCACAGAGAUCCGACUCUGUGCAGGGAUUAAAGGCAUGCCUACCACACCCAGCAGGUGGAUUCCCUUUAAGAUCUUCUUUCCUUCCUUCCUUCCUUCCUUCCUUCCUUCCUUCCUUCCUUCCUUCCCUUCUUCUUCCUCCUCGUCCCCACCCCCCUGUUUAUUUAUUUUUAGGUGUAUGAGUGCUUGCCUGCAUGUAUAUCUGUGUGCCAUCAGCAUGCCUGGUACCCUAAGAGGCCAGAGGAGAACACUGGAUCCCUUGGAACUGGAGUUACCCACAGUUGUGUGCACCAGGACAGCUUGUUUCUUAUGUGGGAACUGGAAAUCUGAACUCAGGUCUUCAAGCUUGCCCAGCGUACUUCAUGCAUCUGGCCCUUUCGUGUCUCAUCUCUGGCAUCUGUCUUGUUCCAAGCGACUCUCCUGGCUUGCACACAGGUGACACGUUUCUAGAAGUGGCUGGCUCCGAGGGGAAAAACACUCUGAGCUGUGGAGAUGCCCAUGGCACAGCUCCUGCCGCAUCCUCUGUUCAGAACCAGCUCCAGGCCAGCUCAGAUCAAACGAGGAGGAGCCCCGUGUCUGGAUACGGGGAUGACAAAGAGUCUGUGGCCAUCUUUAACCCACCAUGAGAGAGGUGUUGCUAUUGGCAACCAAGAUGGCAGAUGGCAAGUAGGUUGGUCAUUGUCCCUUUCUGCUGUGAUGAGACUUAUCCAGGCCUGUCCUGUCUCCAUGGGGCGGGCUGAGUUCCCCCUGCCUCACCCAGACACCCCGACACCAGCCAUAGCCUGUGAUGUGCUUUAGCCAAUGAAGCUACGCUGGAGACAGCAGGCUGCCGCGCAGCUUCAGGAGCCUGCAUGUGGGGAGGGCAGUCCAGGCAGUCCACUCUGCUUUUGCUUUGCCAAGAACAGCACGUUCCAGAGACACACCCUCUGUUCCCUGGAACUCACACCCAGGAGGCACAGCAUCUAAGCCUCGUCAUGGGUAUUUGUACACCCUCACUCCAUUCUCUAGCUUCCACAGGCCUUCAGCCCGUUCCAUUGUUCUGCAAGAAACACCUGGCAAGUUAGGUGUUGUCCAUUCUUCCUUAUGGUCGGGGGGCCUUGGGGGAUCCCCAUAAGCCCCUGUUGGGCGCAGGCAUCAAGCUUGCCUAGUGCAAGUCAGGGAGCGGCUGUCUACAGCUGGGCAGGUUGUCUAUAAAAUUCCUGACAUCUGGGAGCAUUGUGGCUCGGAGGGGCUAAGUAACUUGCCCAAGGCCCACUCCAGUAGUAAGUGGGAGAGUCAGGACUUGAACCCAAGAAUGCCAUGUGCCCAAACCCUUAACCACUGGGCUCCCACGUCCCUGACCCCACCAGUGGGUGGCAGGUAUUCGUAAGCUGACACAUGACGUGUCCCAUGAGCCUUCGGAAAGCCACCAAGGUCUGGGUGUAGUCCCAGAGGCCCCGGUCUCUGGAUGCACUAAUGUCAUAGAAACUGAAGGGACAGGAGAACAUAGCAUCUGGAACUCACCCCAUCCUGUCCCUGUCUCCCCAGCCCUUAGAGGAAAAGUGGAUGGGUCGGACUGGAGGUAUGCUCAGUAGGUGAGAUACUCCUUGUGUAGGUCUGAAGAGUUGAGUUCAGAUCCCCGGCAGGCAGGUGUAGUGUAGCAGGGCACUGUAACCUCAGCACUGGGAGACAGAGGAAGUGUAGCAGGGCACUGUAACCCCAGCACUGGGAGACAGAGGAAGUGUAGCAGGGCACUGUAACCCCAGCACUGGGAGACAGAGGAAGUGUAGCAGGGUACUGUAACCCCAGCACUGGGAGACAGAGGAAGUGUAGCAGGGUACUGUAACCCCAGCACUGGGAGACAGAGGAAGUGUAGCAGGGUACUGUAACCCCAGCACUGGGAGACAGAGGAAGUGUAGCAGGGCACUGUAACCCCAGCACUGGGAGACAGAGGAAGUGUAGCAGCACGCCUCACUGUAAUCCCAGCACUAGAAAGAGGAAGUGUAGCGGGGCAUUGUAACCCCAUCACUGGGAGACAGAGGCUAGAGAGGAGGAUUUUUGUGGCCAACUGACCAUGCAGUCCACCCAAGACCCAGGUUUAGUGAGAGAUUGUGUCUCAAAAAAUAAGGUGGUGAGGCUGGAAAGCGGUUAAGAACGUUUGCUAUUCUUGAAGAGGGCCUGGGUUUGGUUCCCAGCACAUGGCUGCACAACCAUCCCUAACUCCAGUUCCAGGGGAUCUGACACUUCUGAUGCUGUUCUGACCUUUGUAGGUGCUGUACACAUGUGGUGCUCAGACAUACAUUCAGAUGAAACACUCAUUCACACACAUCACAUUUUUUUGUUUUAAAUAAAUAAAUAUUUAUCUCAUUUUUUUUU